CUAAAUAGGCAAAUAAUUGCAUCUUUGGAUUAACAGUCCAAGGCUUUUAUUCAUGUUAAGCUACUAUUUA
This 70-nucleotide transfer RNA is filed under the name Branchiostoma lanceolatum (amphioxus). RNAcentral describes it as "tRNA-Asn". Lineage: Eukaryota; Metazoa; Chordata; Leptocardii; Amphioxiformes; Branchiostomatidae. The record is from RNAcentral.